This 1364-nucleotide long non-coding RNA is filed under the name Apteryx haastii (Great spotted kiwi). RNAcentral describes it as "lncRNA (ENSAHAG00000011358.1)". Lineage: Eukaryota; Metazoa; Chordata; Aves; Apterygiformes; Apterygidae. The record is from RNAcentral.
GCCGGGCCGAGCUGGGGCUGCGGCUGGCGCGGGGGGGGCACGAGGGGCCCCCCGGCCCCCAGGCCCGCCUGCCCCCCGCCUUCCUCGGUGAGACCCCCCCACGGCCGCGCACACCUGCGCACAACUGCGUGCAGCGUUGCACCGCAUUGCACGACUGUGCACAACCGCACAAGACUGCGCACAACCGCGUGCAGCGUUGCACCGCAUUGCACGACUGUGCAGAGCCUCGCAUGGCACUGCACAACCGCACACAACCGCGCACGGCGUUGCAUGGCUGCGCACAGCCUCACACCGCAUUGCACCACGUUGCACGGGCUCACACGACUGCGCACCGCAUUGCACAGCUGCACACAGCGUUGCAUGGCGUUGCACAGCUGCACACGGCGUUGCACAGGUCCGCACAGCCGCGCAUGGCUCCGCGCCGCAUUGCGCUGCAUUGCACGACCACGCGCAGCAUUGCACGGCGUUGCACGGCCUCGCACGACCCUGCGCCGUGUCGCGCCGGCUCACGCGGCUGCCCGUGACUGUGCACCGCGCUGUACGGGGCUGCACCACUGCGCACGGUGCUGCAUGGCUGUGCGUGGCCUCACACAGCCCCUCACAGCCUCGCACAGCUGCGCACGGCUGCACCGCGCUGCACACGGGCUGCUGAGACUGUGCGCCUCGCAUGGCCUCGCACAGGGGUUUGCACGAGGGUUUGCACAGGGGCGUUUGCACGAGGGCCCCGCGCUCACGGCGCCGCGCAGAGAACGGGCAGUGGGAGCUGUGCCACCGCGCGGGCCGGCACCACGCGCCGCCGGGGGAGGCCGCGCACGAGGACGUCACCUUCUACCUCGUCAUCCGCCGCAAGCCGCUCUUCUACAUCGUCAACAUCAUCGUGCCCUGCGUGCUCAUCACCGUGCUCGCCAUCUGCGUCUUCUACCUGCCGCCCGACGCCGGGGAGAAGAUGACGCUGUCGCUGUUCGGGCUGCUGACGCUCACCGUGUUCCUGCUGCUGCUGGCGGACAAAGUGCCGGAGACGUCGCUGGCGGUGCCGCUCAUCGUGCGCUACCUGACGGCGACGCUGGUGCUGCUGACGCUCUGCGUCAUCCUCAGCGUCGGCGUCCUCAACCUGCACCACCGCUCGCCCGCCAGCCACGCCAUGCCGCCCUGGGUGCGCCGGGUAAGGGCCGCGCCGCCGCCCGGACGCCGGGGCCCCUCGGACGCCUGGGCCCCUCGGAUGCCGGGGCCCCUCGGAUGCCGGGGCCCCUCCGACGCCUGGGCCCUUCCUUGGGCACCAGGGUCCCUCGGAUGCCAGGGCCCCUGGACACCUGGGCCCCAGACGCCUGGGCCCCUCCCCGGGUUCUUGGGCCCCCCUGGACUCC